ACCCUCAGGUCCUCUCUCAUCAGAUCUCAACACUGGUCCUGGUGAUCAUAAAGGUAGAAGCAUAUAUUGGGUGGGUUCACAGCACUGUCCAAUAUAAAGCAUGUAAGCUAGAUUGAAACAGGG
Small nucleolar RNA from Nannospalax galili (Upper Galilee mountains blind mole rat), 123 nucleotides. The record is from Ensembl. NCBI's taxonomy places the organism in Eukaryota, Metazoa, Chordata, Mammalia, Rodentia, Spalacidae.